UAGCCUUUUCCGCCUAUAUACCGCCGUCGUCAGCUUACCCUGUGAAGGACUAAUAGUAAGCGCAAUUGGUAAAACCCAAAACGUCAGGCCGAGGUGUAGUGCAUGAGAGGGGAAGAAAUGGGCUACAUUCGCUGCUCAUCAGCGAAUAACGAAUGAUGCAUUGAAACAUGCAGCUGAAGGAGGAUUUAGCAGUAAGCAGAAAGUAGAGUGUUCCGCUGAAACCGGCUCUUAAGCGCGCACACACCGCCCGUCACCCUCCCCAAGCUCCUGGACCCCAACAGUACUUCAAACCCCAACAAAUGCGAAGGAGAGGAAAGUCGUAACAUGGUAAGCGUACCGGAAGGUGCGCUUGGUAAAAU
This 359-nucleotide ribosomal RNA is filed under the name Decapterus macrosoma (shortfin scad). RNAcentral describes it as "partial 12S ribosomal RNA". It matches the Rfam family "Bacterial small subunit ribosomal RNA", at positions 1026 to 1533 of the family's 1533-position model. The record is from RNAcentral. Lineage: Eukaryota; Metazoa; Chordata; Actinopteri; Carangiformes; Carangidae.